RNAcentral lists this ribosomal RNA (257 nucleotides) under uncultured bacterium. RNAcentral's name for it is "partial 16S ribosomal RNA". It matches the Rfam family "Bacterial small subunit ribosomal RNA", at positions 57 to 305 of the family's 1533-position model. The record is from RNAcentral.
GCAAGUCGAGGGGGAACAUAUGAAGAGAUUGCUCAGAUUGCUGACGACCGGCGCACGGGUGAGUAACACGUAUGCAACCUACCUUUUACAGAGGGAUAGCCCAGAGAAAUUUGGAUUAAUACCUCAUAAUAUUUUUAACUCGCAUGAGUUUUAGAUUAAAACUUCGGUGGUAAAAGAUGGGCAUGCGUUCUAUUAGUUUGUUGGUGAGGUAACGGCUUACCAAGACUACGAUAGAUAGGGGUCCUGAGAGGAUAGUC